CCCGGUGACUUUGCCUGGAUGGCCAUACCCGUUCCCAUUCCGAACACGGCCGUCAAGCAUCCAGGGCCUCGUAUGCGCAAGCAUACGGGGC
RNAcentral lists this ribosomal RNA (91 nucleotides) under Planctomycetota bacterium. Lineage: Bacteria; Pseudomonadati; Planctomycetota. The record is from RNAcentral.